Molecule: long non-coding RNA, 161 nt
Organism: Lacerta agilis (Sand lizard)
Lineage: Eukaryota; Metazoa; Chordata; Lepidosauria; Squamata; Lacertidae
Exons: 3
Source: RefSeq, a predicted model, not a curated record
CUCUAGCAGACACACAGACACACCAGUGGCAAAGGGAAGGCACAAAACCUACGCUGUGCACGGGCUGGAGAAGACCUAUCCUUUUCCAGCUCUUUACCUGCAUGGAUAGGCAGAGGAGAGCCACGGUUGGCAUCAAGGUGAACAAGGCUGGACAUCUGCCG